This 206-nucleotide ribosomal RNA is filed under the name uncultured bacterium. RNAcentral's name for it is "partial 16S ribosomal RNA". It matches the Rfam family "Bacterial small subunit ribosomal RNA", at positions 568 to 774 of the family's 1533-position model. The record is from RNAcentral.
UACGUAGGCGGGUUUUUAAGUCAGGGGUGAAAUCCUGGAGCUCAACUCCAGAACUGCCUUUGAUACUGAAGAUCUUGAGUCCGGGAGAGGUGAGUGGAACUGCGAGUGUAGAGGUGAAAUUCGUAGAUAUUCGCAAGAACACCAGUGGCGAAGGCGGCUCACUGGCCCGGUACUGACGCUGAGGCACGAAAGCGUGGGAGCAAACA